AACCUUCACACUGCACGCCAGUGCGAUAAGGGGACUCCAAGUGCGAGGGCAUAUAGUCCUCGCUUUUCUGGACCGUAAGGAGGUCCAGGAACAAGGGCUGGGCAAGACCGGUGCCAGCCGCCGCGGUAAUACCGGCAGCCCAAGUGAUGGCCGCUCUUAUUGGGCCUAAAGCGUCCGUAGCUGGCCAGGCAAGUCCGUCGGGAAAUCCGCGUGCCCAACACGCGGGCGUCCGGUGGAAACUGCCUGGCUUGGGACCGGAAGACCAGAGGGGUACGUCCGGGGUAGGAGUGAAAUCCCGUAAUCCUGGACGGACCACCGGUGGCGAAAGCGCCUCUGGAAGACGGAUCCGACGGUGAGGGACGAAAGCUCGGGUCACGAACCGGAUUAGAUACCCGGGUAGUCCGAGCUGUAAACGAUGUCUGCUAGGUGUGACACAGGCUACGAGCCUGUGUUGUGCCGUAGGGAAGCCGUGAAGCAGAUCGCCUGGGAAGUACGUCCGCAAGGAUGAAACUUAA
This 515-nucleotide ribosomal RNA is filed under the name uncultured archaeon. RNAcentral describes it as "bacterial SSU rRNA". It matches the Rfam family "Archaeal small subunit ribosomal RNA", at positions 345 to 859 of the family's 1478-position model. The record is from RNAcentral.